AGAGUUUGAUCCUGGCUCAGGAUGAACGCUAGCGGCAGGCCUAAUACAUGCAAGUCGAACGGGAUCUAUGAUCAGCUUGCUGAUUAUAGUGAGAGUGGCGGAUGGGUGCGUAACGCGUGAGCAACCUACCCAUAUCUGGGGGAUAGCCCGGCGAAAGUCGGAUUAACACCGCAUAAUAUACAUUUGACGCAUGUCAUAUGUAUUAAAUAUUUAUAGGAUAUGGAUGGGCUCGCGUGACAUUAGCUAGUUGGUAAGGUAACUGCUUACCAAGGCUACGAUGUCUAGGGGCUCUGAGAGGAGUAUCCCCCACACUGGCACUGAGACACGGGCCAGACUCCUACGGGAGGCAGCAGUAAGGAAUAUUGGUCAAUGGACGGAAGUCUGAACCAGCCAUGCCGCGUGCAGGAAGACGGCCUUCUGGGUUGUAAACUGCUUUUCUACGGGAAGAACAGUCAAUACGUGUAUUGAUUGACGGUACUGUAGGAAUAAGGAUCGGCUAACUCCGUGCCAGCAGCCGCGGUAAUACGGAGGAUCCGAGCGUUAUCCGGAUUUAUUGGGUUUAAAGGGUGGUCAGGUGGUUUAUUAAGUCGGGGGUGAAAUUCAGCGGCUCAACCGUUGGUUGUCCUUCGAUACUGGUAAACUUGAAUGUAGUUGAAGAAGGCGGAAUGUGGCAAGUAGCGGUGAAAUGCAUAGAUAUGCCACAGAACACCUAUUGCGAAGGCAGUUUUCUAAACUAUUAUUGACACUGAACCACGAAAGCGUGGGUAUCGAACAGGAUUAGAUACCCUGGUAGUCCACGCUGUAAACGAUGAUAACUCGAUGUCGGCGAUAUACAGUCGGUGUCUUAGCGAAAGCGUUAAGUUAUCCACCUGGGGAGUACGUCCGCAAGGAUGAAACUCAAAGGAAUUGACGGGGGCCCGCACAAGCGGAGGAGCAUGUGGUUUAAUUCGAUGAUACGCGAGGAACCUUACCCGAGCUUGAAAGUUAGUGCAUGAUUCAGAGAUGGAUCAGUCCUUCGGGACACGAAACUAGGUGCUGCAUGGCUGUCGUCAGCUCGUGCCGUGAGGUGUUGGGUUAAGUCCCGCAACGAGCGCAACCCCUAUUGUCAGUUGCCAUCACGUAAUGGUGGGGACUCUGACGAGACUGCCCGCGCAAGCGGAGAGGAAGGUGGGGACGACGUCAAGUCAUCAUGGCCCUUACGUCCGGGGCUACACACGUGCUACAAUGGCCGGUACAACGGGCAGCUACACAGCGAUGUGAUGCGAAUCCCGAAAAGCCGGUCCCAGUUCGGAUUGGGGUCUGCAACUCGACCCUAUGAAGCUGGAUUCGCUAGUAAUCGCGUAUCAGCAAUGACGCGGUGAAUACGUUCCCGGGCCUUGUACACACCGCCCGUCAAGCCAUGAAAGUUGGGAGUGCCUGAAGCAUGUAACCGCAAGGAGCGUGUCAGGGUAAGACCGAUGAUUGGGGCUAAGUCGUAACAAGGUAGCCGUA
This 1491-nucleotide ribosomal RNA is filed under the name uncultured compost bacterium. RNAcentral describes it as "16S ribosomal RNA". It matches the Rfam family "Bacterial small subunit ribosomal RNA". The record is from RNAcentral.